UAUAUAAUAAAAAAAAAAUUUAUUGAUUCAUAUCAUAAAAGAAGUACAAGAAGGGAUAGAAUAUAAAAUUGCUCUAUUGUUAUAAGACUUCCUCUCUCCUCCCGAGACUAAUGGAUUUAGCCGCUCAUGGGUUGGCUCUCGUUGGUUGGUAGCUCCAUCUUCUUAGCAUAAUCUCCAUAUAUCACCUUGAAAACCCUCCAACCUCAUAGCCUUCUCUCUUAUUCUCUUAUUUUUCUCUCAAUCUUUUCUCCUCUCAAUCCUCUUUACAAAAUUUCUCUAUGAUUUU
This 286-nucleotide long non-coding RNA is filed under the name Elaeis guineensis (African oil palm). RNAcentral's name for it is "long non-coding RNA (EGUI_LNC064524)". Lineage: Eukaryota; Viridiplantae; Streptophyta; Magnoliopsida; Arecales; Arecaceae. The record is from RNAcentral.